UACAGAGGGUGCGAGCGUUAAUCGGAAUUACUGGGCGUAAAGCGUGCGUAGACGGUAGCGUAAGUCAGAUGUGAAAGCCCCGGGCUCAACCUGGGAACUGCAUUCGAGACUGCUCUGCUCGGGUGCGGAAGAGGGAAGCGGAAUUUCCGGUGUAGCGGUGAAAUGCGUAGAUAUCGGGAGGAACACCAGUGGCGAAGGCGGCCUUCUGGACCAGUACUGACGCUCAUGCACGAAAGCGUGGGGAGCAAACAGG
RNAcentral lists this ribosomal RNA (253 nucleotides) under uncultured bacterium. RNAcentral describes it as "partial 16S ribosomal RNA". It matches the Rfam family "Bacterial small subunit ribosomal RNA", at positions 524 to 776 of the family's 1533-position model. The record is from RNAcentral.